GAAGGGGGCGGGUGCUAUACAUGCAGUCGAACGCUUCUUUUUCCACCGGAGCUUGCUCCACCGGAAAAAGAGGAGUGGCGAACGGGUGAGUAACACGUGGGUAACCUGCCCAUCAGAAGGGGAUAACACUUGGAAACAGGUGCUAAUACCGUAUAACAAUCGAAACCGCAUGGUUUUGAUUUGAAAGGCGCUUUCGGGUGUCGCUGAUGGAUGGACCCGCGGUGCAUUAGCUAGUUGGUGAGGUAACGGCUCACCAAGGCCACGAUGCAUAGCCGACCUGAGAGGGUGAUCGGCCACAUUGGGACUGAGACACGGCCCAAACUCCUACGGGAGGCAGCAGUAGGGAAUCUUCGGCAAUGGACGAAAGUCUGACCGAGCAACGCCGCGUGAGUGAAGAAGGUUUUCGGAUCGUAAAACUCUGUUGUUAGAGAAGAACAAGGAUGAGAGUAACUGUUCAUCCCUUGACGAUAUCUAACCAGAAAGCCACGGCUAACUACGUGCCAGCAGCCGCGGUAAUACGUAGGUGGCAAGCGUUGUCCGGAUUUAUUGGGCGUAAAGCGAGCGCAGGCGGUUUCUUAAGUCUGAUGUGAAAGCCCCCGGCUCAACCGGGGAGGGUCAUUGGAAACUGGGAGACUUGAGUGCAGAAGAGGAGAGUGGAAUUCCAUGUGUAGCGGUGAAAUGCGUAGAUAUAUGGAGGAACACCAGUGGCGAAGGCGGCUCUCUGGUCUGUAACUGACGCUGAGGCUCGAAAGCGUGGGGAGCAAACAGGAUUAGACACCCUGGUAGUCCACGCCGUAAACGAUGAGUGCUAAGUGUUGGAGGGUUUCCGCCCUUCAGUGCUGCAGCUAACGCAUUAAGCACUCCGCCUGGGGAGUACGACCGCAAGGUUGAAACUCAAAGGAAUUGACGGGGGCCCGCACAAGCGGUGGAGCAUGUGGUUUAAUUCGAAGCAACGCGAAGAACCUUACCAGGUCUUGACAUCCUUUGACCACUCUAGAGAUAGAGCUUCCCCUUCGGGGGCAAAGUGACAGGUGGUGCAUGGUUGUCGUCAGCUCGUGUCGUGAGAUGUUGGGUUAAGUCCCGCAACGAGGCGCCACCCUUAUUGUUAGUUACCAUUCAUUCAGGUUGGGGCACUCCUUAGCAAAGAACUGUCG
Molecule: ribosomal RNA, 1154 nt
Filed under: uncultured bacterium
Lineage: Bacteria
Description: bacterial SSU rRNA
Rfam family: Bacterial small subunit ribosomal RNA
Source: RNAcentral